This 2503-nucleotide long non-coding RNA is filed under the name Daucus carota (carrot). Its description in RNAcentral is "long non-coding RNA (DCAR_LNC000746)". Lineage: Eukaryota; Viridiplantae; Streptophyta; Magnoliopsida; Apiales; Apiaceae. The record is from RNAcentral.
AGAUAAGAUGACUAAGGUUUGAUCAACAGAUAAUUUUAGUCCUACUACUAAUACUCCAACUACUCUUUCCGUUGCUAUGAAAUUGCUUCCUUGAAUCAGAGUUGGUGUCCAUACUGAGACCAAACAAAUUAAUAUACCACUACAAAGCUUUAGGAAAAAGGAGCAAAGAUAUAAAUCAAAAUUUGGACUGAUCCAGGAAAAAGGUUCAUGAUAUUCUCAUUUCUCACAAUCAAACUCAAUAAAUUAUGAAAAAAAUAUUAAAAAGUAAAAGUCGCUACUAGCUACCACAUAUAGAGAGAAAACAUCGAACAAACAAUUAUAUGAUAAUGCUUUAUGGUGAUACCCGGAACUAUGUGACAAUAGGUUACACCAGUUCAUUCUGUCUUUAGCAUAAAAUUAAUGUCUACCAGCAAUAUAUACACAACUUGUACAAACAUUGAAUGCUUUCCGGCAACACAUCAUGAUCGAUCUCCAUCAAGAAAUCUGGCAAAUUAACCUCCUAAAUUCUAUCACUAUUCCCUAGACCCAGUAACUGAUGUAGACUACAUAUCUUAAUUAUAACGAAUCGCAACUCAGCUCAUGUUUUAAUCCAGAUUUGCUUUUCUUUUAUUUCUUUGAUUGUUUUUUAAAAGCUUAUUGUUUGUGCUCUAAUAUAUGUCCAGCUAUUCCAUGAAUGUCAAAUGCAAGUUUAGCAAUCUUUCAAACCCUGCAUAAGACAUAGGUACGCUGUUGAACAGAAGCCUGACAGAAUAUAACUAUCAGCAUGAGCAGGCACUGUCUAGCAGCAAUGGGGGCCAAUAUGCUACAAAACCUACUGACCAAGUAGAACUAUUAGCUACAAAAUCAUAAAACAUUAGCAGAUCUAACUUUAAAAGUGAUGUAUAUUAAUCCACACAAGAAGCUAGAACUUAUAUAUAACUAGAUAGUCUAGAUUGAUCCGCUCUACACUGACACAUCUAAAUAGGAGACUCUAGCAUGUGUUCAUGAGAAUUUGUAACAAACUGUUGACUGAAAACUAAUGAUUUCACACUUGCUUCUCUGAAUAACACUGGCUGAGAUCCAUAAACUUAUGGCCAAUUAGAGAGCACCGAUUCUAGAAAAAACAACGUCGUCUAAAGAUAGUGAUUUUUCUAAACAGCUCCACCCAAAGUUUUUCUAGAGCUAAGGAUGUCUCUACCACUUCAAUUUCAAAAAGCAGAUCAAUCAUAAUGGGUAAAAGAGUUGAAUCAUGUACCUCCUGCAUGUUUUUGUACAAGUUGCUUGAAUUUUUGGGUCACUUCUAAAUCCUUUGACCACAUAGUAAUUAAUAUUUAUUUUCAAAAUCUUCUUUCUGUGAUUAUAAUAUUGAUAACGUUACACAUAUUAAUUUACAAAAAAUAAAAUCUUAAAAAAAAAACGAUUCUAACUUUACAGGCAAAAGACUAAGAAGUGUGUGCCAAAAAGUCAGGCAACCUAUAUAUAAAAAACUAGGGAGUAAAAUCUAACCCAAACCUAAAUGUAAAAAGUCACAGUUAAGGUAUUCACAAGAAUGUAGAUUCAUUAAUAACUAUAUACCACAUUCCUCACUCCAUCCGAAUAAUUCAAGUUACAAAUUAACUAUAUCCUAGUCAAUCGUCAUUGCGUCCAAGUCACAAUAAUGUUAUAAAAGAUGCUCACACUUCCCAAAUACAUAGCAUAUCAUUUCAUUUCCACAUUCGGUUUCCUAAACAUCAUCUAAUCUCCAAAUUGAACAAAUAACAAUUAUUCAGUAAUUUAGCAAAAAAAAAAUACAAUUAUUCAGUAAUUCUUUACUCUUAUCUAAAUCAUCUCCGCCUAUUGUUAUCUAAACAUACCGCAAUAUUCAUAAACCUAACAAAACAGCAAAAUCAUUCAAUAAUUUACAUAAAACCUUACAGAACAACAACAAAUAUAACCGAAUCAACUGAACUAACUAACUAACUGAAACUGAAUCAUUUUUUAUGAAAUAACCUACAACUAAACGAUUCAUAUUGAAAUCAAUAACUACACGAAUCAGAUCUCACUAACAACUCAUCAAUUUCAAAAUUAAUCAGAUUAAAUAUCACAAAAACACAGAUCACUCGCAAGAGAAAACCUGAGAAGGCAAUCUGAAGGCUUCGGACUUAGUGAAACACGUAUCGUCGAGAACUUCGCUCUGACACCACCGGCACUUACUGUUCAUCAAGCAUUGUAGCUUGGUUGAUGCUUCCGUACAGUUUUGAGCCGCCCGGUCGAGUUUCCGUUGAGUUGCGGUGAUUAACAGGUUGCGAGAUGUCGCAUCGCCGGCUUUCAACAGAUUUCCGGCGACGGCGAACGGCGGUGAUCGAAAGACGGUUACGAAAAGGAGAAGUAGAAGCAGAAGGAAUAAUAAAGGGCAGCCAGAGAUCCGAGUUGUUGCCAUUACGUUACUCGUAGAUGUAAAAACUGUAAUAUAUGUUUCUCUGAAAAAAACUGUCGGGCGUAUGAUUAAAGUAUUUUAAACGGGUCACAAAAAAUUGAAAAUUUC